UUUUAGUUUUUUUAUUAAAAAUAAGAAGAAAGAAAUCCCCAAAAAUUCUACUCACCUUAUCCUAUUUUUUUCUCUUUCUCUCUCGCAUGUUGUCUUUCUUUCUUUCUUUUCCAGUUUCAAUUUUUGGUUCUUUUUGGCCAUUGAGUUUUUAUGGUGCCUUUAUUUUCUAGUUCUUUAGUUUCUCUUGUCACUAUUAGAUUAUCAAGGUUUGCUAAUUUUGCGCAACUUUGGUGGUUCCUUGAGGCCUUGGUUUCGGUUGCUUUGUUAGGAGAUUUGCAUGUUCAUUAGUUUUAGUGCUAAAACAUAGUGGUUUUGUGGAGGCGAAUCAAUUAGUUCUUGGUGCCUUGGGUCUCGAUUUAAGGUGUGUUUCUGAAUUAAAGUAGUUGGGGGUCAAUUUGAUGGUAAUUCGCGAGGUUAGAUUGUGGUCCAGCAUGUCGGAGGUCUCAAAGAGUUUUUUCUCGUGUUACUCGGUUUAAAUAAAAUUUCUAUGAGUUUAGUAUGGUAAUUUUUAAUCAAUUUAUAAAGCUAUUAUAUUUGGUUUUAAAAUAUUCGAUGCCACGCAUGAAAUUAAUUUCACACCACUUUAUUAUUCAUUUUAUAAACAUGCAAUUUUUAAGGUAAUAA
Molecule: long non-coding RNA, 624 nt
Organism: Gossypium arboreum
Lineage: Eukaryota; Viridiplantae; Streptophyta; Magnoliopsida; Malvales; Malvaceae
Exons: 3
Source: RefSeq, a predicted model, not a curated record